This 9351-nucleotide long non-coding RNA is filed under the name Phaseolus vulgaris (common bean). Its description in RNAcentral is "long non-coding RNA (PVUL_LNC003696)". Lineage: Eukaryota; Viridiplantae; Streptophyta; Magnoliopsida; Fabales; Fabaceae. The record is from RNAcentral.
GUGUAUGUAUUUAGUAUAGAUUCUUUUAAUAAUAUAAUAAUAUUUUAAAUUAAAAAAUAAAGUAAAAAUGGUUAAAAUAUGAACAUUAUUAGCAGCAAAGAACAGUGAAUAUAAGUGUUUUACUGUGACAGUGAAGGUGGAGUUUGGAGUCUAGAGGUUGUUGAGGACGAUGUUGGCGAGAUUCAAACCUUCACAUGUGGUGUCAUCAUCAGAGAUCUUGGAAGAAAAAGACCAAGAGAACCCUGAGGUGGCAGAGAACCCAACGCUCACCCACUCCGGAAGAAGGCUCUCGAGCUCCACUCUCUGAGAGACGAUGUAGUUCGUUGGCUGAGAAGGGUAAACCAGAGAAGCCACCAAGAGCUUCGUGGAGGACUCAUAGGUGAUCUGAACCUCCGCGUUUUCUCCGUUGACCAAUUCCCACGGCGUCGUUUUCAUAGACUCGAUGGAGUUCACGUCGAUGCCAAUAUGACGGCCUUCGGGGUCCCACUCCUGGUUGACGAAGGUGUCGAACUCCACAGCCACAGUAUGGGCUUUGCUGUUGUAUUUGUCGCUGUCGAAAAGACCUAGAAAACCGCCUUGCUUUGUUGGGAACGAGAGCAAAGCCAAGGCCAUCGGCGGCUUUUGCUUUGUUGGGAGCGUGGAUAUUGAAUUUGAAGUUUGUGGUGAAGCUGGCGACUUUUCCGGUGGCGCUGUCUUAGAUUUGGAUGGGGGCGGAGUAGAAGGCGCGGCCCAGAGAGGCCACCGUGGGUUCUCCGUUGCUAUUAACAUUGGUUAGUCGUAACUGGCCGGAGGAUGAGACGGAGGCAUCGCCUUGGAGGAUAAGGUUGGUUUCGUUGAACCUAUCGAAGCUGAAGGAGGUUUCGCUGGCUGAGUUUGCGUGGCUGAGAAGCACAAGGAAGAGGCUAGGUUGAGUAAGUUGGAGGAAGCCAUGUAUGCAUUCAUGCAUUAACCAUCACUCUCUUCUCUAUUUAUACAACAACAAAUGCAAAAUCUUUCCAACUUUUUUAUUUCAUUCUAUUAUUAAAUACGUGUUUUCGAAUGAUUAACUUUUUUCUUUUAUAAUAUUAUUUGAGAGAGAAAUAAGAAUAUUAAAAUAAGAAUUAAGCAACGAUUGAUUUUACAACGAUUCAACGUUUUGCUACGAUUCUUAAUUACAAUGUGUCGAUAACUCUUUUUAAGUAUUUGGGUAUGCUGGUAGGGGGUGUCAUUGGAGAGGUGCUUUUUGAGCGGACAAAAAUUCCAAAAAUCCACCAUUUAUUAUUAAUCUUUUUUAUUAUUUAGGUAUUUUUCAGGUAUUUUAAGGUUUUAGUUCUCACAGUUACCCUAAUUAGAAAAUUCUAAUUUUUUUUUCAUGAUUUUUUAGUUAUAAAUUAGUGAUAUAUCAAAACCCUAUAAAUUAGUGAUAAUUCAUAUUUUUCGUGAAGGGAAUGCGUGUGCUAAUAAGUUGGCUAAUUUAGGAUUUAUUCAUAGAGAAUCAUUUCAUUGGUAUAAUAGACUCCCAGCUAGUCUGUUCUUAGAAUUCUUUAUGAAUAGGUAUAAUCUACCUAUUUAUCGUUUUUGUUAACAUAUGGGUUUUGGUCUAGUCCCGUCAUAUUUUUGUAUUUUCUUUCUUUUUUCUUUUUUUUUAAUAAUAUUUUUUUUAUGUGAUGACAAAUGAUUGUUGUUACUUGAGGUGUCAGCUUAGCUGAGAUGUCAAGUUGCAUAGUGAUGCCUAACACGAAAACUUUAUAUAAAAAAAAACCCUAUGGACAUAUAUAUGUCAGAUUUGUUAGAAUUUGCAUAUGGAGAUCAUUGUAAGAGCAUGACUGGAAGCAAAUAAUAAUAUUUAACUUAUUCUUUAUAAUUUUUUAACACUAAUUAAUGUGAAUCCUUUUUCCCGCCAUAGAAUAUGUGAGAAAUGGGCCACGUAUUUCCUUAAUUUCUAUAACUCUAAGAUAAAUAAUCAAUAAUAUAGGAAUUAGAUAGAUAGAUAGGAAUAUAUAUGUUAUUAGUGUUUGUAAUACAUCUUUAUCAAUGUAUAUAAUUUGAUUAUCUGAAUAUAUGUAUCAGGGCUAACUUAGUUUUAAUUGUACAAGUCAAUUUAGAUAGGAUUAACAUUAAACAGAAUGAACUAAACAAAAAAUUCUCAUUUAAAAUGGCGGCUUUUACCAUAACUGCCAUUUUAUAUCUUUCAAGAAGGUAUAAAUGACGACUUUUUAUCAUAACCGUCAUUUUAUAUCUUUAAGGAGGAUCUAAAACGGUGACUUUUUACCAUAACUGUUGUUUUAUAUCUUUUAAAAAGGUCUAAAACGACGACUUUUACCAUAAUUGCUGUUUUAGACUGAAUAUAACACAACGAUUAUAUAAUCUCUGUCUUUGCUUGAAAAGAAUAGACUAUAUGUUGAAAGACAACGCUACAAGAACCGUUGUUUUAAUACUAAAAUGAUCGUCGUGAUUUAAUUUUUUUCAUCAGUAAUUGUAAAGUUUCUUUUUAGAGUGUUGAUAAACAUAUAUCGAUUUGAAAUGAAUAGAGUUAGAAAGUAAAAAAAAAAUACAAGAAAAAUGUUAAAUAAUGUCAUAGAAAUAGAAAUGGAAGAGAAGUGUAAAGAAAUUUAAAUAAAAAUUAGAUGUGAGAGUAAGUUAGUUUAUAAAUUGAUUUGUUUAAUGAUUUAAUAACUGUAAAAAUCAAAUAAAAGUAAAUUAUAGUAAUAUGUACUAAGAUUUAAUGUAAUUACACCCAUGUUUCCUUUUUUUUUCUCUGUUAUACUUUAACUUAUAAUAAUCCUUUCCAUUAUUAUAAACUUUUUUAAAAUUACAUAUUUUUCAAAUUAUGCACUAAUAAUAUAAUAAUACACAUGCUGAAUAAUACGCAGUGUAAAUAUAUGAGCUCCUAUUUUAUUUAUGCUCCCAUUUGUGACAGAUGAAGAUUAUUAGCAGGAAAGAAGAGUGAGAGUGAGUAUAAGCAGGGUUUUACUGUCACAGUGAAGGUGGUUUUUGGAAUCUAGAGGAUCUUGUUGAGGAGGAUGUUGGCGAGAUUCGAAUCUUCAGAUGUGGUGUGACAGGAGAACUUGGAAGAAAAAGACCAAGAGAGCAGGUCGUGCGUUUCACUGGACACGUUAGAUGACCCUGAGGUGGAAGAGAACCCAACGCUCACAUUUAAUAAUAAUAUUAUGUGAUACCUCACAAUUAUUUAUCUUAUUAAUUGAUCAAUUACCAUAAUUAUCCUAUUAUAUUAUUGGUAAUUACUAUUAUCAUAAAUAAUUAGGGUUUCUUCUUGGGUGUAUUAUAAAUAGAGAUUACCAGACAACUAAAGAGACACUCUUAUAUUCUAACAUCACACGGUCGAAACUCAUUCCCUAAAGGGAUUUUCGAGCCUCUCAUCUCUUUGUCUCUCUGCUCACAUAAUUCCAUUUUAAGCGAUACACUCUAAAGGGAAACCCGAUCAAGAUCAUGUCUUCGUCCCUCAGCCAUGCGAUCACGGGUUUACCAAGUAUUAUCUAAUCAUUAUUCUCGUUUCAUUAUAUGAUUGAGGAAUCCUAAUCCAACAUGUGGUAUCAGAGUCAGGUUUAUGUUGUUUAAUCGAUUCUUCUUUUGUUUUCCCUAAAUUUGGAAGAAACGAGGAUUUUGAUUCAACCUAUUGAUUUUCGAUGUUUUUAUUUUGGUAUAUUAUUGAACCACUUAUUUUCGAAAAUCCACCUUGAUAUCAUAAAAUAAAUUUUAAUUUUUUCGAGAUCCAUAAUUAUUUUAAGAUUUUGAAAAUUAAAAUUUAAUAUUAAUGUUAUGUGUUCUUCAUAAUUUUCGUGAGUAUUCCCUUAUUUGGAAUGGAAUUAAUUUUGAUUAUAUGUUCAUCAUCAUUAUUUGUUGUUCGUAUGAAUUUUUGAAAAUUAUGAAUAAAGAAUUUUCAAAAAUUAAUUAUUCCCUUAAUUAGGAAAUUUUGAAAAUAAUAUUUUUCCUUAAUUCAAAUUUUCGAAAUACAAUUGAUUCCCUUAAUUAGGAAUGGAUUUGAUUUGAUUUGAUUGUGUUUUUCUAAAAAAAUAAAUAAAAAUUGAUAUCUUAGUCUCCACGUUUUUCCUUAUUUAGGAUAGUAUAUUCUUGCCUUAUUAAUUUUCGGGUAUUAUUAUUAUUAUUACUAUUUUCGAAAAUAGCAGUCGUGUCAAACUUGGAAACAUAUCAAUCUAAUUAAAAUUUUGAAGACCAAAUCUAAAAUCAAAUCCUUAAUAUUCCGCUACUCACUUAUCGAGUUUACGAGUAACAUAUUUACGCGUUUCCUUUUAUUUAUCGAAUUAAAUAUGGUAAAUCUCAUGAUACCGUAAUUAUGUUUUAAAAAAAAUACUUAUUUUGUUAAACUCUUAAAACAAAAAUAUUAAGUUUGACAAAAUUAAAAUUAAAUUUUUUGCUUAAACUUAAUAACAGGAGUCUCCCUUCUGUCCAACGAUGAUGGGUUAUGUCUUGUUAUUUUAGUCUAAUUAAGCACCUUCACUUACUUGUGAGUACACUUAAUUAUUAAAUAUUCGCAUGACAUUUGCCUAAAAACACAAUUAUUUCUUAUUUCUAUUCUGUCCAACGAUGUUUGAUGCACUUGUGUUUUGCAAACUUAAUAUGUGCAUAAGCUUAAAUGUUCAAUUCUGUCCAAAGAUGAUGUGUCACAUUCUUAUUGCACAUACCUUACUUAUAAUUGUUCAUUAUUCUUAAAUAAUUGGUAAUUAACCAAAGUGAAAGCUGAUUGUUUAAGUAGAACCUAAUCUAGUCUAUUAUUUUGAUGUUAUAAUAGAUUUUAUCACAGCUUCAUUAUCAUAAUGGUUCUUACUUAUGCCUGCUUUAGAUCUAAGUUUCCAAAUGUCACUCUAACUUUUUCCUUAGCCUAAGUAUCUUAAUUCGUCGUCUAACCAGCCCCUAAUAUGGAAAUUGAGACCUUGACUGGUGAAAAUCAUUCUUCUUGGAAAGAUUCCUUGAUGCUNNNNNNNNNNNNNNNNNNNNNNNNNNNNNNNNNNNNNNNNNNNNNNNNNNNNNNNNNNNNNNNNNNNNNNNNNNNNNNNNNNNNNNNNNNNNNNNNNNNNNNNNNNNNNNNNNNNNNNNNNNNNNNNNNNNNNNNNNNNNNNNNNNNNNNNNCAAUCAUUAGAGGAGGCAUUCCUGAUUCACCUAACGCUAAGGCUUAUCUAGCUUCUGUGGAGGAACAAUUUCAAGGAACCUCUAAGGCUCAUGCUAGUACUCUUAUCUUGAAGUUGGUGACUACAAAAUAUGACGGGCGCACCGGCAUUCGUGAACACAUCCUGAUGAUGAGCGACAUGGCCCGUAAACUUAAGGGAUUAGCCAUGGAGAUCAGUGAAGGUUUCCUAGUCCACUUCAUUAUGACUUCUCUUCCUUCUGCGUUUGAAGCCUUCAAAGUCAACUAUAAUACUCAGAAGGACAAAUGGUCCAUGAGUGAGUUGAUUGCUAUGACUGUUCAAGAAGAAGAGCGCCUGAAGUUGGAGAAACCAGAUGUUGCUUACCUCGUGGCUGCUGAGUCGAAGAAGCGGAAGGGCAAAUUCCAUAAAAAGGAAUCUAAUAAGGUCCCUAAAACUGAUGCAAGUGCACCCUCCAGCUCUAACAAAUUCACUAGCAAGUUCUACUGCAAGUUCUGCCGCAAGGUAGGACAUAAGCAGUCUGAGUGCUCAAGCUUUAAGGAGUGGUUGGCUAAGAAAGGUAAUCAUCUAAAUAUGAUAAUUGAGUCCUUUAAUUUAAAUGUUCCAACUAAUACUUGGUGGUUUGACUCUGGUUCUAUGGUUCAUGUGACCAAUUCAAUCCAGGGAUUCCUUACAAUCCAGAAGCUGGAAAGAAACCAAAGAACACUUAAGAUGGGGAAUGGACAAGAACUAUUUGUCGAAGCUGUCGGAAUCUUAGAAUUACUUAUGAAAACUGGAAAAUGUAUUAAACUUUAUGAUACCUUAUAUAUUCCCGAAAUUACUCAGAAUCUUGUAUUAGGACCAAAGUUAGACAUUGAUGGUUUUUAUGUUUCCCAUGGUCAUGGCAAACUUACUAUUUCUUUAAAUUCUCAAUUGUUUGGUACUGGUUUUCUGGAUAACGGUCUCUAUAAGUUAGAACUAGAUGAUAACUUCUCCAAAUCUUUGUUAUCAUAUAAUAUUAAUGAGAACUUAACAAAGACCAAGAGAAAACGAGACUUAGAAACUUCAUCCAUGUUGUGGCAUCAACGUUUAGGCCACAUUUCACGAGAUCGCUUAUCUCGACUUGUGAAGGAUGAAGUCUUACCAUCUCUCAAUUUCACUGAUUUUGGAACAUGUGUCAAAUGCCUCAAAGGCAAAAUGACAUCCACGACUAAGAAAGGCAAAAUGACAUCCACGACUAAGAAAAAAAAAUACAAGAAAAAUAUUAAAUAAUGUCAUAGAAAUAGAAAUGGAAGAGAAGUGUAAAGAAAUUUAAAUAAAAAUUAGAUGAGAGAGUAAGUUAGUUUAUAUUGAUUUCUUUAGUGAUUUAAUAACUGUAAAUAAGAAAGAGUAAAUUAUAGUAAUAUUUACUAAGAUUCAAUGAAGUUACACCAAUGUUUCCUUUUUUUAAUAUGUUAUACUUUAAUUUAUAAUAAUCCUGUCCAUUACUAUAAAAAUUUUAAAAAUUACAUAUUUUUCAAAUUAUGCACUAAUAACACGCAUAUAUGGUCAAACAGAAUAAACUAAAGCAAAAAAUUCUCAUUUAAAAUAGCGGCUUUUAUCAUAACGGUCGUUCUAUAUCUUUGAAGAUGGUAUAAAAUGAUGAGUUUUUAGCAUAACUGCCAUUUUAUAUCUUUCAGGAGGAUUUAAAACAACGAUUUUUUAGCAUAAUUGUCGUUUUAUAUCUUUAAAAAAUGCCUAAAAUGAAGACUUUUACCAUAAUCGUUAUUUUAGACUGAAUAUAACACGACGAUUAUAUAACCGUUGUCUUUACUUAAAGAGAAUGGACUUCAUGCUGAAAGACAGCGGUAUAAGAAUCGCUCAUUCAUGCUGAAAGACAGCGGUAUAAGAAUUGCUCAUUUAGUGCUGAAAUGACCGUUGUCAUUUAGCUUUUUUGCACCAAUAAUUAUAAAGUUUAUUUUUAGAGUGGUGGUGAUAAACAUAUAUCGAUGUGAGAAUAAGUUAGUUUAUAUUGAUUUGUAUAGUGAUUUAAUAACUGUAAAAGUCGAAUAAGAAAGAGUAAAUUAAAGUAAUAUUUUCUUAUGUUUAAUGUAAUUUAAACCAAUGUUUUUUUUUUCUAUGUUAUACUUUAACUUAUACUAAUCCUUUCCAUUAUUAUAAACUUUUUAAAAAUUACAUAUUUUUUAUUUUUCAAAUUAUGCACUAACAAUACGAAUAUGCAUGGUCAAUAAUACGCAGUGUAAAUUGUGUAAAUAUAUGAGCUCCCAUUUUAUUUAUUUAUUUUAGUUUGUGUGACAAAUGAACAUUAUUAGUAGCAAAGAAGAGUGAAGAGUGACUAUAAGUAGCGUUACCAUGAGACUAUGUUACUAUAUGAGACUAUGAGGUAAUAUGGCCUGAAAAAUGUUGAAGGAACUUGUCAAAGACUCAUAGACAAAGUCUUCAAGGGGAUUGGCCGGAACAUAAGGGAAAUGGUCGGAACGAUUUACGUGGACGACAAACUCAUGUGCCCAACACAUAAAGAUUUGAAAGAACUCUUUGAAGCUAUUAGGCUAUGAUGUUCAGACACUUCUCUUAAAUGAUGUGUCGGUGGUAGAUACUCAUAUCGGACACCGACAUUCGUAUGACACUUGUAGGACACGUAUUCGUGAAAUGUCCAAUUCAAAAAGUAUUUGUUGGAUUUUUGACAAUUUUAAUACAAUUCUAACAGAAUUUUAAAAAGGAAAAAUACAUUAAUUUUCUAAAAACUCAAACUUAUUGUAUAAAUUUUUAUUAUGAUUAUAAAAAUAAGAAACAAAUCAUUUUGAAGUAGUCAUGAAAAACAUUUUUUUCUCUUUUCUCCAAAAAACAAUCUGUAACAUACUUGUGUACAUAAAUCUUUAUUAUCAAUUUAUAUAAUUUAUAAUUAUAUAAUAUAUAGAUUCGUGUUUUCAUAUCCUACAUUUUAAAUAUUUAUUUUAAAUAUUUUCCGUAUCUUUACGUUUGUGUCCUUGUUUUAUCGGUGUCCGUGUUAUACAGCUCUUAAGUGAAUGAACAUGCGGCUAAAUCCUGAAAAGUUUGCGUUCAGGAAUAUAAGUUAUUGGGUUUAGGGUUUAAUCUCGAGAAAUGUAGGGCGAUAGAGAUAACAAGAUGAUCAAAAAUACAAAAAAAAGAAGAAGAGUAAAAUAGAGUAAACUCCAUUAUGUUAUUAUUUUGGAAAACUUUUCUUCAACAGUCCAAAGUUUGGAGUAAAAAACAAGCAUUUGACAGCUCCUUUUAAUAAUAUAAUAAUAUAUGAGCUCCCAUUUUAUUUUCUGUGACAGAGAAACAUUAUUAGCAGGAAAGAACACUGAGUGAAAGCAGUGUUUUAGUGUCACAGGGAAGGUGGAGUUUGGAGUCUAGAGGAUUUGGUUGAGGACCAAGUUGGCGAGAUUCAAAGCUUCAGAUGUGGUGCCAUCGGAGAGCUUGGAAGCAAAAGACCAAGAGAGGACGUCGUUCGUUUCAACGUUCCCUUUAGUAAUCCCAGUGGUGGCAGAGAACCCAACGCUCACCCACUCGGGAAGAACGCUCUUCAGGUCCACUGUGUCAGAGACGGUGAAGCUUGUUUUCAGAGAAGGGUAAACCAGAGAAGCCACCAAGAGCUUCGUGGAGGACUCAUAGGUGAUAUGAACCUCGGCGUUUUCUCCGUUGACAAAAUCCCACCGCGUCGUUUUGAUAGACUUGAUGGAGUUCACGUCGAUGCCAAUAUGACGCUCUCUGGGGUCCCAGUCCUUGUUGUAGAGGGUGUCGAACUCCACAGCCACAGUAUGGAAAUUGCUGUUGCUGCCGUCGAAAAGACCUAGAAAACCGCCUUUGUCUUUGGGCUGAGAGCCCACGGGGACGAGAGCAAAGGCAAGGCCAUCGGCGGGUCCUGCAUUGUUGGGAACCUGUAUAUUGAAUGUGAAGUUGGUGUCGAAGCUGGCGACGUUGCCGGUGGUGUAGUCCCAGAUUUGGAUGGGGGCGGAGUAGAAGGCGCGGCCCAGAGAGCCCACCGUGGGUUCUCCGUUGCUGUUAACAUUGGUUAGUCGUAACUGGCCGGAGGAUGAGACGGAGGCAUCGCCUUGAAGGAUAAGGUUGGUUUCGUUGAACCUAUCGAAGCUGAAGAAGGUUUGGCUGGCUGAGUUUGCGUGGGUGAGAAGCACAAGGAAGAGGGCUAGGGAGAGUAAGUUGGAGGAAGCCAUGUAUGCAUUCAUGCAUUAACCAUCACUCUCUUCUCUAUUUAUACAACAACAACUGCACUCUCUCUCUCUACUUU